GUAGGGGAGCAAGCGUUGUUCGGAAUCAUUGGGCGUAAAGAGCGCGUAGGUGGCUUGGUAAGUCUGUUGUGAAAGCCCACAGCUCAACUGUGGAACUGCGACAGAAACUGCCUGGCUAGAGUGCGGGAGAGGAAAGUGGAAUUCCCAGUGUAGAGGUGAAAUUCGUAGAUACUGGGAGGAACACCGGUGGCGAAGGCGGCUUUCUGGACCGCAACUGACGCUGAGGCGCGAAAGCUAGGGGAGCGAACGGGAUUAGAUACCCCGGUAGUCCUAGCCGUAAACGAUGGGCACUAGGUGUAGGGGGUAUCGACCCCUUCUGUGCCGUAGCUAACGCAUUAAGUGCCCCGCCUGGGGAGUACGGUCGCAAGACUA
RNAcentral lists this ribosomal RNA (372 nucleotides) under uncultured organism. RNAcentral's name for it is "partial 16S ribosomal RNA". It matches the Rfam family "Bacterial small subunit ribosomal RNA", at positions 526 to 896 of the family's 1533-position model. The record is from RNAcentral.